RNAcentral lists this long non-coding RNA (417 nucleotides) under Citrus x clementina. Its description in RNAcentral is "Citrus clementina (C. clementina) long non-coding RNA (CCLE_LNC003284)". The record is from RNAcentral. Lineage: Eukaryota; Viridiplantae; Streptophyta; Magnoliopsida; Sapindales; Rutaceae.
CUUAGCAUACUCUUUAUUUAUUUUUUAAAUAUUUAAAAAGUAAAAUUAAUAUUUAUCACAAGUAUUAAGUUGCUACAUAACUGUAUAAUUAGCAUGUAUCAUUUAAUAAAUAAGGCGUGCUACAAAUUGAUUGCCAAAAAUGUGUAAAAUAUCAAGUUGAUAUUUGUUCUAAGCAUUUUGUCACUUAGUAAACCUGACUUAUGCUGCGUUUACUUUUUGGAUUGGAGUGUAAAUCUUGAGGAGUGGGAAUCCUUGGAUUAGGAGUGUGAAGUGGGAGUGAGAGUAUGGUGUUUACUUAGACUAAAUGAAAGUAUAGAUUGUCAAUCAGAAUCCCAAUUAUUUGUUUACUUUGUCUUGGAUUGGGAAUAAAUUGUUUUAAAUUAUAAUUUUAUCCUUAUGUACAGAAUUAUAAUUUGU